AUUGAACGCUGGCGGCAUGCCUUACACACGCAAGUCGAACGGUAACAGGUCUUCGGAUGCUGACGAGUGGCGAACGGGUGAGUAAUACAUCGGAACGUGCCUAGUAGUGGGGGAUAACUACUCGAAAGAGUGGCUAAUACCGCAUGAGAUCUACGGAUGAAAGCAGGGGAUCGCAAGACCUUGUGCUACUAGAGCGGCCGAUGGCAGAUUAGGUAGUUGGUGGGAUAAAAGCUUACCAAGCCGACGAUCUGUAGCUGGUCUGAGAGGACGAUAGGCCACACUGGGACUGAGACACGGCCCAGACUCCUACGGGAGGCAGCAGUGGGGAAUUUUGGACAAUGGGCGAAAGCCUGAUCCAGCAAUGCCGCGUGCAGGAUGAAGGCCUUCGGGUUGUAAACUGCUUUUGUACGGAACGAAAAGCCCCGGGUUAAUACCCUGGGGUCAUGACGGUACCGUAAGAAUAAGCACCGGCUAACUACGUGCCAGCCGCCGCAGUAA
RNAcentral lists this ribosomal RNA (498 nucleotides) under uncultured bacterium. Its description in RNAcentral is "partial 16S ribosomal RNA". It matches the Rfam family "Bacterial small subunit ribosomal RNA", at positions 30 to 523 of the family's 1533-position model. The record is from RNAcentral.